UGGUCACUCUCACUCUUCUCUAUGAAAAUGAAUAAACUUGUUGCUGGCCUGUAUUAUUCAUCUGACCCACAGAGCUGAUGGGGAGUCUCUGACGGAACAUGUCGUUGUCAGCUUUGGUUGCCGUGACAAAAUACCACAGACCAGAUGGCUUAAACACACAGGGAUUUAUUUGUCAGGGUUCUAGAGGCUGGAAGUCCAAGACCAAGGUGCCCGCAGACUGUCCCAGGGGAAGAACUGGCUGGAACUUGAAGUACUAGCUGGGAAGCCCUAGGCAUGAAUACAAGAUAGAACCGAGGACAGAGAGAAGGGAGGAUUGUGGAGAGCCGGCUCCAGGCCCCCAUGUUUCAGAGCAAACUCUGAAAAGGACAAGAAUUCUACAUGCAAGCCCCGCCUUCCAGGUGAUUAAGGAGAUGGGCGUGU
This is a long non-coding RNA of Felis catus (domestic cat), 420 nucleotides long. RefSeq lists it as uncharacterized. The transcript has 3 exons. The record is from RefSeq and is a predicted model, not a curated record. NCBI's taxonomy places the organism in Eukaryota, Metazoa, Chordata, Mammalia, Carnivora, Felidae.